Rhinolophus ferrumequinum (greater horseshoe bat) is the source of this 1004-nucleotide long non-coding RNA. RefSeq lists it as uncharacterized. The record is from RefSeq and is a predicted model, not a curated record. The transcript is spliced from 3 exons. NCBI's taxonomy places the organism in Eukaryota, Metazoa, Chordata, Mammalia, Chiroptera, Rhinolophidae.
ACAAGACACUCAAAGGAAGAAAAGUAUGGGCCAAGCACUCUAUCUAGCCAAACUGAUCUUCAAGUAUAAGGCCUAUAGGCAAAAUUUUAAAACCUGUGAGAAAUCAGGAAAUACAAUUAUCCUGAGCCUUUUCUGAACAACCUACUAGAAUCAUGGAACAGCAGUCUCAGCACCACUGAGCAAGCCUGAGGAAAUCCAGGUUUCCAGGCCCAAAAGAAUUAAUGAGGAAUGUUCUAGAACAUAAUCUUAGGAGGUGGAGGAAAGAGGAAAAGCAGAAAGAGGAGGAAAUGGAAGCAGACGAGGAAAAAAGAAGAGAAAAGAAAGACAAGAAGGGCAAGGGGUCUGAAUAGACAUUUCUGCAAAGAAGAUAUACAAAUGGCCAAAAAGCAUAUGAAAGAUGCUCAACAUCAUUAGGAAAAUACAAAACAAAAACACAGUGAGAGCACACUUUGUACCCACUAAGAUGGCUACACUCAAAAAAGGGGAAAAUAAUGUGUUGACAAGGGUGUGGAGAAAUUGGAUUGGAACCUUCAAGCAUUGCUCGCGGGAAUGUAGAAUGGCGUCGACACUGUGGAAAACAAUCUGUAAGUUCCUCAAAAAGUUGAACAUAUACCCAGCAAUCCACUAUAUAUCCAAGAAAGUUGAAAAUAUGUUUACAGAAUAACUUGUACGUGAAUGUUCACAGCAGCAUUAUUCAUAAUAGCCAAAAUGUAGAAACAACCGAAAUGUCCAGCAACUGACGUAUCAAUACACAAAUAGUGGUAUAUCCAUGCAAUGGAAUAUUAUUCAACCAUGAAAAGCAAUGAAGAACUGACACACUACAACAUGGAUAAACCUUAAAAACAUUAUGUAAGUGAAAGUCAGUCAUAAAAGACCACAUAUUAUAUGAUUCCACCUGUGUUAAAUGUGCAUAGUAGAAAAUUCAUAGAGACAAAUAUAAUAGUUGUCGCCUGGGGCUGGGAGUAAAGGGGAGUGACUGCUAAAGGGUACGGACUUUCUUUUUA